GACGUCCACUUUCUGUUUCCUCCGGGCUCCCGGCCUCAUGUGAGUCCGGCGGCCCGUGGUACCUCGUUGCAGUAAAUUGGAGUUAAGUGGUGGGAAGUGGCCACUGCUCACACACAUCAUCGUCUGUGGAAGUUCUCUUGCAGGGUCUGGGAGAAUCCGCUGCCAGCGAGCAGGAAAAGCAGACGCUGAGUUCCUCCGCAGCCUUUUUUCCUCCGCUGAAGAGCAGGAUGGCGAACUGCGGCACAUGUUUCUGGUGCAUCGUCUGGCUGGUGAUCCUGCUGUGCAUCGGCUGGCCCCUCAGCAUCAUGCUCGGGGGGCUCUACGGUCUGAUCACCCCCCUCACCACCUGCCUCGGCCUGGACCGGCUCUCUGAUUUGCUCCUGGAGGGGGCCAACAUAGGCCGGACCUGCGCCAACAACAUGAGGCACGGGAAGCCUCUGUGUUAGCGUCCGGUCAGUGUCCGGCAUCCUGAGAUGACCGGCGCUCGCUGCAGAGAGAAACCUUCCACAAACCUUCGCCACAAGGUCCAGAAGGUCUGGAAAGUGGAUUCCGCUCUCACGGUUAACAUGUCAUUAACCGCGGGUUUCACAUUUCUCUGGGUUUGUCAGGAGGAAAACAGGCUUUGUGUCCACGGUCUGCGUCUGCUGUUUAAUUCACCAUGACACUGCGUGCAAAAGAUAAGAAUGAAAAUAGCUAUUUAACAAAGGAAAUGUUUAGACUUGUAAAUGACUGUACGGAAACUUCUAAUGCGAUUAAAAAUGGCUUUGAACUUG
Molecule: long non-coding RNA, 773 nt
Organism: Salarias fasciatus (jewelled blenny)
Lineage: Eukaryota; Metazoa; Chordata; Actinopteri; Blenniiformes; Blenniidae
Exons: 2
Source: RefSeq, a predicted model, not a curated record